GUUUAUAGCCAUGCCACCCUGAACAAGCCCGAUCCCGUCUGAUCUCGGAAGCUAAGCAGGGUCGGGCCUGGUUAGUACUUGGAUGGGAGACCACCUAGGAAGACCAGGUGCUGUAGGCA
RNAcentral lists this ribosomal RNA (119 nucleotides) under Pteropus alecto (black flying fox). The record is from RNAcentral. Lineage: Eukaryota; Metazoa; Chordata; Mammalia; Chiroptera; Pteropodidae.